CACAGACUUCUCUAUUAGCUAGAUAGCAUAGCAUGGUUGCACUGAAUUCCUGGCUGUGCAGCAUGUGCUUGUUUCCAGCUAUGCUUUCAUUUAAAUAAUGGAGAAAGCAUCAUAUGUAUAUAGUUCAACCGGAUGACAUAGAAAAGGUGACCCCACCUUGGUGUUAGUGUAGGGUUCACAGAGUAUUGCACUGGGCUUAGCUCCAGUUGUUUCUUGAACACCCCUGCUAAUGCUCUCUUGACAUCCACUUGUGAG
Pelobates cultripes (western spadefoot toad) is the source of this 255-nucleotide non-coding RNA. NCBI's taxonomy places the organism in Eukaryota, Metazoa, Chordata, Amphibia, Anura, Pelobatidae. The record is from the annotation of a GenBank genome assembly.